RNAcentral lists this ribosomal RNA (495 nucleotides) under uncultured bacterium. RNAcentral describes it as "bacterial SSU rRNA". It matches the Rfam family "Bacterial small subunit ribosomal RNA", at positions 15 to 507 of the family's 1533-position model. The record is from RNAcentral.
GAUCAUGGCUCAGAUUGAACGCUGGCGGCAUGCUUUACACAUGCAAGUCGAACGGUAACAGGCCUUCGGGCGCUGACGAGUGGCGAACGGGUGAGUAACGCAUCGGAACGUGCCCAGUCGUGGGGGAUAACGCAGCGAAAGCUGUGCUAAUACCGCAUACGAUCUGCGGAUGAAAGCGGGGGACCUUAGGGCCUCGCGCGAUUGGAGCGGCCGAUGUCAGAUUAGGUAGUUGGUGGGGUAAAGGCUCACCAAGCCAACGAUCUGUAGCUGGUCUGAGAGGACGACCAGCCACACUGGAACUGAGACACGGUCCAGACUCCUACGGGAGGCAGCAGUGGGGAAUUUUGGACAAUGGACGCAAGUCUGAUCCAGCCAUUCCGCGUGCAGGAUGAAGGCCCUCGGGUUGUAAACUGCUUUUGUACGGAACGAAAAGGUCCGGGUUAAUACCCUGGGCUCAUGACGGUACCGUAAGAAUAAGGAUCGGCUAACUCCGUG